RNAcentral lists this ribosomal RNA (499 nucleotides) under uncultured Actinomycetospora sp. RNAcentral's name for it is "bacterial SSU rRNA". It matches the Rfam family "Bacterial small subunit ribosomal RNA", at positions 8 to 507 of the family's 1533-position model. Lineage: Bacteria; Bacillati; Actinomycetota; Actinomycetes; Pseudonocardiales; Pseudonocardiaceae. The record is from RNAcentral.
AGAGUUUUGAUCCUGGCUACGAGGACGACGCUGGCGGCGUGCUUAACACAUGCAAGUCGAGCGGUAAGGCCCUUCGGGGUACACGAGCGGCGAACGGGUGAGUAACACGUGGGUGACCUGCCCUCCACUUCGGGAUAAGCCUGGGAAACUGGGUCUAAUACCGGAUAGGACCUCUUGGUGCAUGCCGAGUGGUGGAAAGUUUUUGUCGGUGGGGGAUGGGCCCGCGGUCUAUCAGCUUGUUGGUGGGGUGAUGGCCUACCAAGGCGACGACGGAUAGCCGGCCUGAGAGGGUGAUCGGCCACACUGGGACUGAGACACGGCCCAGACUCCUACGGGAGGCAGCAGUGGGGAAUCUUGCGCAAUGGGCGAAAGCCUGACGCAGCAACGCCGGCGUGAGGGAUGACGGCCUUCGGGUUGUAAACCUCUUUCGCGAUCGACGAAGGCCCGUCUUGUUGGCGGGUUGACGGUAGGUCGAGAAGAAGCACCGGCCAACUACGUG